GACAAGCGGACCAAGUUAAAUUGUAGUCGGUAAAAAAGGAAGUUAGAAAACUUUUGUUGAUGUUAAGGAAAAUAAAUCUUGUUUGUAGAAGUUAAAUUCGUGCAAAGAAGGGUAGAUUGCUAGUUUCUUAAGCUUUGAUACUUCGAAAAUUAAAGGAGAGACCGGGAUUAGAUACCCCGUUAUUUUUAUUGUAAAAUUUGGUUUUAGCCUACCUGGGUAGUACGGAUAAAAUUAACUAUAUAAAAGUAUUUUUGUAUAGUAGUUUUUCGUUUAAAACUCAAAAAACUUGGCGGUGCCUUAAUUCUUUCCAGGGGAACCUGUCCUGUAAUCGAUGAUCCACGAUUUAGCUUACUUUUUUUUGAAUGUUAAUUUUUAUAAAAUAAAUCAGUCUGUAUACCGUCGUCGUCAGAUUACCUUUGAGAGAUAAAAAGUUGUCGGAAGAAUAAUAAUUUAAAGAUUAAAUUUAUUUUUGAAAUUUAAAAAAGUUUUGAUGUCAGAUCAAGGUGCAGCUUAUAAAAAAGAAGAGAUGGGUUACAAUAUAAAAUUAAUUUGGAUCUUAAAGUGUAACUUUUAAGUGAAAUUGGACUUGGAAGUAAUAUAGAAAAGUUAUACUGUAAAGUCUUUUUAUUAAGGUACUAAAGCGCGU
RNAcentral lists this ribosomal RNA (646 nucleotides) under Stomatella planulata. RNAcentral describes it as "partial 12S rRNA". The record is from RNAcentral. Lineage: Eukaryota; Metazoa; Mollusca; Gastropoda; Trochida; Trochidae.